UACGGGAUGGAGCAGUUGGUAGCUCGUCAGCCCCAUAAGCUGAAGGUCGCUGGUUCGAUUCCAGCUCCCGUACCCA
RNAcentral lists this transfer RNA (76 nucleotides) under Erysipelotrichaceae bacterium. RNAcentral describes it as "tRNA-Met". It matches the Rfam family "tRNA". Rfam says of the family: Transfer RNA (tRNA) molecules are approximately 80 nucleotides in length. Their secondary structure includes four short double-helical elements and three loops (D, anti-codon, and T loops). The record is from RNAcentral. Lineage: Bacteria; Bacillati; Bacillota; Erysipelotrichia; Erysipelotrichales; Erysipelotrichaceae.